Molecule: ribosomal RNA, 460 nt
Filed under: uncultured bacterium
Lineage: Bacteria
Description: partial 16S ribosomal RNA
Rfam family: Bacterial small subunit ribosomal RNA
Source: RNAcentral
CCUACGGGUGGCAGCAGUGAGGAAUAUUGGUCAAUGGACGCGAGCCUGAACCAGCCAAGUAGCGUGAAGGAUGACUGCCCUAUGGGUUGUAAACUUCUUUUAUAAGGGAAUAAAAUGUUCCACGUGUGCCAUUUUGUAUGUACCUUAUGAAUAAGGAUCGGCUAACUCCGUGCCAGCAGCCGCGGUAAUACGGAGGAUCCGAGCGUUAUCCGGAUUUAUUGGGUUUAAAGGGUGCGUAGGUGGAUUGUUAAGUCAGUUGUGAAAGUUUGCGGCUCAACCGUAGAAUUGCAGUUGAAACUGGCAGUCUUGAGUACAGUAGAGGUAGGCGGAAUGCGUGGUGUAGCGGUGAAAUGCUUAGAUAUCACGAAGAACGCCGAUUGCGAAGGCAGCUCACUGGACUACAACUGACACUGAGGCACGAAAGUGUGGGUAUCGAACAGGAUUAGAUACCCCGGUAGUC